GCCUGGGUGGCUCAGUUGGUUGGGCGUCUGACUUUGGCUCAGGUCAUGAUCUUGCAGUCUGUGAGUUCAAGCCCCAUGUCAGGCU
Felis catus (domestic cat) is the source of this 85-nucleotide transfer RNA. It matches the Rfam family "tRNA". Rfam says of the family: Transfer RNA (tRNA) molecules are approximately 80 nucleotides in length. The record is from Rfam. NCBI's taxonomy places the organism in Eukaryota, Metazoa, Chordata, Mammalia, Carnivora, Felidae.